UAGGGAAUCUUCGGCAAUGGACGAAAGUCUGACCGAGCAACGCCGCGUGAGUGAAGAAGGUUUUCGGAUCGUAAAACUCUGUUGUUAGAGAAGAACAAGGAUGAGAGUAGAAUGUUCAUCCCUUGACGGUAUCUAACCAGAAAGCCACGGCUAACUACGUGCCAGCAGCCGCGGUAAUACGUAGGUGGCAAGCGUUGUCCGGAUUUAUUGGGCGUAAAGCGAGCGCAGGCGGUUUCUUAAGUCUGAUGUGAAAGCCCCCGGCUCACCGGGAGGGGUCAUGGUAACGAGGAACGUUAUGUGCAGAAGAGGAGAGUGGAAUUCCUAUGUGUAGCGGUGGAAAUAGCGUAGAUAUAUGGAGGAACACCAGUGGCGAAGGCGGCUCUCUGGUCGUGUAACUAGACGCUGAG
Molecule: ribosomal RNA, 407 nt
Filed under: uncultured bacterium
Lineage: Bacteria
Description: bacterial SSU rRNA
Rfam family: Bacterial small subunit ribosomal RNA
Source: RNAcentral